This 227-nucleotide small RNA is filed under the name Ursus americanus (American black bear). RNAcentral's name for it is "7SK RNA (ENSUAMG00000018938.1)". It matches the Rfam family "7SK RNA", at positions 1 to 250 of the family's 331-position model. From Rfam's summary of the family: 7SK was discovered as an abundant small nuclear RNA in the mid-70s but a possible function has only recently been suggested. Two independent studies have found that 7SK RNA binds the CDK9/cyclin T complex (known as elongation factor P-TEFb). Lineage: Eukaryota; Metazoa; Chordata; Mammalia; Carnivora; Ursidae. The record is from RNAcentral.
GGAUGUGAGGGUGACCUGGCUGCCACAUGUCACCCCCUGAUCGCCAGAGUCGAAUCGGCUGUGUGGUGGGCUAGGCAAGUGUCUUGGUCCUUCCUCACCGCUCCACCUGUGUCCCUCCUGAAGCUAAGCCUUCCCUGAUAGAGGAGGACCUUUCUCCGGUCAGGGGUACAGGAGUGGCUGCGUUCCCCUGCCAGAACCCCCGCACAAGCCUUCACUGAUCUGUUCAU